AUGCCACCGGAUAGAGACAUUGAGUUUUUGAUUGAACUUUUGCCAGGCACUGGGCCAAUAUCAAAGAGACCAUAUAGGAUGCCAGCAAAAGAUUUGGUGGAAAUUAAGAAACAGAUUAAGGAGUUACUGGAUAAGGGAUAUAUUCGCCCAAGUUCUUCGCCUUGGGGAUCACCAGUACUUCUAGUAGAGAAGAAGGAUGGAUCGUUAAGGAUGGUUGUUGACUAUCGAGGAUUGAAUGAAGUAACAAUCAAGAACAAGUACCUGCUACCAAUGAUCAAUGACCUGUUUGAUCGAUUGCAAGGAGCUAAAGUGUUUUCCAAGAUCGAUUUACGGUCAGGGUACCAUCAGCUGAAGAUUCGAGAGCAGGAUAUUCCGAAGACAGAUUUCACCACAAGAUAUGGACUGUAUGAGUAUACCGUUAUGUCAUUUGGACUGACUAACGCGCCUGCCUAUUUUAUGAACAUGAUGAACAAAGUGUUUAUGGAGUUUUUGGAUAAGUUCGUCGUAGUGUUCAUUGAUGAUAUCCUGGUAUAUUCAAAGAAUGAAGAAGAACAUAAGGAGCAUUUGCGUUUGGUACUUGGAAAGCUCAGAGAA
Molecule: ribosomal RNA, 594 nt
Filed under: Triticum aestivum (bread wheat)
Lineage: Eukaryota; Viridiplantae; Streptophyta; Magnoliopsida; Poales; Poaceae
Description: partial small subunit ribosomal RNA
Source: RNAcentral